UAUUCUUGCUUGUUUUUUGAGAUUUUUUUUAGAACAGUGAAAUUACAUUUCAAUUCGGAUUUUGAUACUAAGACAAACCAGUCAAUUCCAUUCAUGAAUGCUGUUAUAUGGGAAAGAGAAUGUAAAUCAGUCUGUAAGUGACACACGUAACUCUCCAUGACUCCAUCUCUGAUGAAGAAAUACAAAACCAUCUAACUUACCUGCAAAUCAUUCGAAUGCACGCUUUGUAUUUACUAUGAUAUUGUAUUUGCUUGAACGCUCUUUAAUUACCUCUCCUAUGAUGCAUGUAUUACCACAGUAGAACCCCUACCAACAAAAUAAAAAAGGUAAAAUCAGUUACUAAAAAGAUUCUACAAUAGCUAUGAAAUUGUAGUAUGGAAAUCUUGUAAAGCAAUUACUAUAUGAGAAAGAGAAUGUAAAUAAAAAAACACUAAGCUAUGAAGAUGUCUAUCUCAUGACGUAGAACUCAAGGAAGUGAACAAAAACUACUUGGAGGACAGAGUAAAUCACUCCACAACCAGCUAAACAGAGUAAGAAAUGAGAUUUGGCAGCAGUUGAGAAUUGGAUGAUUUUGUAAUGAGUCAAAUGAUGACUUUCAA
Molecule: long non-coding RNA, 599 nt
Filed under: Arabidopsis thaliana (thale cress)
Lineage: Eukaryota; Viridiplantae; Streptophyta; Magnoliopsida; Brassicales; Brassicaceae
Description: long non-coding RNA (ATHA_LNC000514)
Source: RNAcentral